CCUACGGGAGGCAGCAGUGGGGAAUUUUGGACAAUGGGCGAAAGCCUGAUCCAGCCAUGCCGCGUGAGUGAAGAAGGCCUUCGGGUUGUAAAGCUCUUUCGCAAGGAAAGAAAUCCUAUCCACUAAUACUGGGUGGGGAUGACGGUACCUUGAUAAGAAGCACCGGCUAACUACGUGCCAGCAGCCGCGGUAAUACGUAGGGUGCGAGCGUUAAUCGGAAUUACUGGGCGUAAAGCGAGCGCAGGCGGUUUUGUAAGUCAGAUGUGAAAUCCCCGGGCUCAACCUGGGAACUGCGUUUGAAACUGCAAGGCUAGAGUAUAGGAGAGGGAGGUAGAAUUCCACGUGUAGCAGUGAAAUGCGUAGAGAUGUGGAGGAAUACCGAUGGCGAAGGCAGCCUCCUGGCCUAAUACUGACGCUCAUGCUCGAAAGCGUGGGGAGCA
This 440-nucleotide ribosomal RNA is filed under the name uncultured bacterium. Its description in RNAcentral is "bacterial SSU rRNA". It matches the Rfam family "Bacterial small subunit ribosomal RNA", at positions 338 to 770 of the family's 1533-position model. The record is from RNAcentral.